UACGUAGGGUGCGAGCGUUAAUCGGAAUUACUGGGCGUAAAGCGUGCGUAGGUGGUGAGUUAAGUCUGUCGUGAAAGCCCCGGGCUCAACCUGGGAAUGGCGAUGGAUACUGGCUCGCUAGAGUGCGGUAGAGGAGAGUGGAAUUCCCGGUGUAGCAGUGAAAUGCGUAGAGAUCGGGAGGAACAUCAGUUGCGAAGGCGGCUCUGGGCCGUAACUGACGCUGAGGAGCGAAAGCAUGGGGAGCGAACAGG
RNAcentral lists this ribosomal RNA (251 nucleotides) under uncultured bacterium. RNAcentral describes it as "partial 16S ribosomal RNA". It matches the Rfam family "Bacterial small subunit ribosomal RNA", at positions 524 to 776 of the family's 1533-position model. The record is from RNAcentral.